GCUUUGCGGGCAGGUACGGCUUGGCCAACGAGACGGUGGAGACCAUGGCCGCUCCCGUAUGGUUCUUGACGUAGCCGAGACCUGCGACGAUGUCGCCGGUGUUCAUCCCGGUAAGCCUUGCUGGGAGGUACGGCUUGGCCAACGAAACGGUGGAGGCCACGGCCGCUCCUGUAUGGUUCUUGACGUAGCCGAGACCGGCGACGAUGUUGCCCGUGUUCAUCUCGGUUAGCUUUGCCGGGAGGUACGGCUUGGCCAGCGAGACGGUGGAGGCCACGGCGCUCGCCUGUUGCUUGACGAUGUCGACGCCGGAGAAGAGGAGGUCGCGUGCGUUCAUCUCGCCUGGUUUUCCUUUCCGACUUGUGGU
This 364-nucleotide long non-coding RNA is filed under the name Triticum aestivum (bread wheat). RNAcentral's name for it is "long non-coding RNA (TAES_LNC022131)". The record is from RNAcentral. Lineage: Eukaryota; Viridiplantae; Streptophyta; Magnoliopsida; Poales; Poaceae.